UUUUUUCUGCCUUGUACAUUAAGUUUAGCUUAUUAAUUGCCAAGGUUACGAGUGGUGACCCAGCCAAUGGCACCAGUAAUUGAUCAGCAACUUCAGCUGCCAAGGGAAUUCAGUGCAAGAGCAGCAGAAGCAUUGAAUCACCUUGUUGGCCUUUUAUCUUAUAUAGCUGCUUGCUUUUAAAUUCUUUUCUUUCUUUCUUUUCCCCACUUUUAGAGCAGCUGAGCCUUUGUUUGCUGAUCUCAAAAUUGUUGUUCAGCACAGCAGAAAAACCUAAAAUACACGGGAGAUAAAUAUAUCGAACAGCUGGAAAGUAAUUAUACUGUUAUAAAGUCACCUUCAUUAUCAAGUCAACUCCAGAUUCUUAAAGUAUACUACAGUGACUUCAUGGAACUUGUCAUAAAACAGAUGGCCUGAUUAAAAUCUCUACAACAUCCAAAGCAACAGGAAUUGCCAGCUCUAUCUGGCACACAAUCACUAUACAUCUUUCAUUUUUUCUUAGUGGGAACUUGUAUAGGAUGUUCUAUGGCUCACUUCUAAAACAUCAAAUAUGUUACAACAGAAGCGGAAAAUGAAAGAAAGUAAAAGAUUAAAAUCCUGACAACCUACACAUCACUCGUGUACUAAAUACUGAUGCUCUAACCUACGACACAUGACAUUUGAUGGUAGCAAUUAUACUUGUUUGGCUUGAAUAAGCAACAUUUUCCAAACAUUUCAACAUCCACACAGAGUGCAAACAUCAACAUUUACAGUCUAAUAAGACUGAAUUACAUGGCAAGCUGGGACUGCAGUAUCUUUCCUCUCAAUUUUGCUUGAACACUGGCAUAAAUGACAGUAAAUUCAAUUUAUAAACUGAAACAAGCUGAAAAUAGCAAACCAAUACUAUGAAAAAUCUUAGGCCAACUCUCCUUCACUCAGCUCAGUGUCAGUCUGUGUUUUCAAGGGCAGUUUUAUGGCAGCACGCGCUCUACCCUGGUGGUGGCACAUGUGAUGAGGUCUCCUGACCCCAGUGACAGUGUGCUCUGUCUCCUACCCCAUGCAAAACUGCCGAGGAUGAACAGGAAGUGGCAGUGGGCUGGAGGAGCAUGUCACUGGGUGCAGCACAUAGGAUAAAAACUGUCAGCAGGGGAAUGGUGCCCCAGGUAUGAGUGAGGCAGCCCCAGAGCUGUGUGGGUUUUUGGAACCUGUGUGGGUUUUUGGAACCUAUUACAGCUUUGGCCCUGCCCUCAACUUCUUGGUUUUAUUGGGAACGUGUGACCAUGCCUCUACCAAAAUGAAAUGACCAUGCUUCUACCAGAAUGAACCCUAUAAAGACUGCCAUGUGCAGAAAUAGUUCCCUGCUUGAUUUCAUAGCACCUAAUAUGCGUUGUAGCCACUGCACGUACACAAUAAAAUCCAAAAUUCUCUUAUUGGGAACAAUUGCUUGAAGCCAAUGAAAUGGGGCAGAGAGAAAAAAGAUAAAAGAGAUGGCUCGAAAUCAUAGGAUUUAAGUUGAAACUUCAAUAAAAAUUUUAACAGAUGAUAGGAAGAGAGGGGGAUUUGCACAACCAAAUUUUAAGUUAUAUUUCAAAGCGAUAUGCCUAACCUGGUUAAAAUAAUGGAUUACAUUAAAAAAUCCAAGAUUGUUGGAUUUGGAAGGAUUGAUUUAAGAUUCGGCUGGCAUGCAUAUUUAUUUUAUGACAAGGUAAAAGUAGUCAAUAAAGAAUUUUAAAAUCAUUAUGUUAGAAAAAGUCUAUAUAUGGUAUGGAUGAAAAAUAAAUUUUUGUUAGAAGCAAAAAUCCCACUUUGGGUAUCCCCACUGGAAGUUAUAUCUAGAAAACAGAAAAAUAUGCAACAAUCUUGGCCCACGUAUCGACAACUGUUCGUCUUUCAAGGUGUAAAAUACGAACUUUAAAAGUUAGAAUAUAUGCAGGAUUGGAAUAUCUCUUGGUUCCAAUACCAUCAAAUCAAUGCAAUAUUUAAGCAAGACUGUAAAAGCGGUUUUAACCAACUAAAGUCAGAAUUUGAACUACAGUUGUGCGAUAAGGAAGAAAAACUCGUAUCCAGGAUGUAUGGCCUAUUACUAUUGGAAGAUACAAGAAUGGAGGUAGUAAAAACCUCGAUGAUUAAAUGGGCCCAGGACCUUGGUUAUAACAUUGACUUGGAAAAAUGGGGAAAACUUUGGAUAAAAGAUAUAAAAUUUACUGCUUGCUCUAAUUUAAAGGAAAAUAUUUUGAAAAUGAUGUACAGAUGGCAUCUUACGCCCAAAAAGUUGGCCGUAAUCUACAAGAAUAUGUCAAAUAAAUGUUGGAAAUGUAAGAAAGAAGAGGGUUCCUAUAUUCAUUUAUGGUGGACAUGCAAUAAAUCGAGAGGUUAUUGGGAUUUAAUAUAAAACGAGCAUUAAAAAGUAUUCAAAAUGACUUUUCCCAAGAGUCCAGAAUCAAUACUAUUAGGUAUUGAUAACAAUGCUCUCCCGAGGAAAUAUUGGACCCUCUUUAUGUACUUAACAGCGGCAGCAAGACUGACAUUUGCGCGCAAAUGGAAAGACAGUCAAUGCCCGUCUAAAGAGGACUGGAUUCUUAAAGUACUAGAAUUGGCAGAAAUGGCAAAAUUAACAUCACUACUAAGAAAUAAAGUUGAAGAAUUUAAAAAAGAAUGGGACCCUCUUCUUUUCUAUUUAAAAAUACAUCACAAAAUGGAUUUAUGUCAGGCUUUUGAGGGCUAACAACAAAUGUUUCAAAAACAUCCUAAAGUUGUUUUCUAUAUGAAUUACUGGGGAGAGAAGGUUUAAUCUAUAGGCAAGAUCUGGUUAUUGUUAACAACACUUGUUCCAACGAUGAGAUGGAAGUCUUUAUUGUGUGUGUUUGUGAGUGUUUGUAUCAUUUGUGUUUGUCCUUUUGUGUUGUGAAAAUUGAAUUAAAAAGUAUAAGGCAAAAAAGAAAUUUCAAUAAAAAUUGUGGGAAAACAA
This is a long non-coding RNA of Hemicordylus capensis (graceful crag lizard), 2944 nucleotides long. RefSeq lists it as uncharacterized. Lineage: Eukaryota; Metazoa; Chordata; Lepidosauria; Squamata; Cordylidae. The record is from RefSeq and is a predicted model, not a curated record. The transcript is spliced from 2 exons.